UCAUUUGUAAAUUACAACUUCAAAUCAAGUUUGUUUAUUGAAAACCCUUCUUUAUACAGACUUUUAGGAUUACUUAGUAGCAUACCCUUAACUGCAAAUAUUCACAAACUCCAUAGAAUUAUAAUUUCUCAUUAAUAGUGAAUACCAUCAUUGAAUCAAAUUAGAAUCCAAGUCUAGAGGCCCUGCAGGACAAUCCAACCAAAUUUAUAUUUAAAAUCUUUACUAAAAAAUACAUAAUUAUGCAUUCAAGUUAAUGUGAAAAUAAUAUGAAUUUUGAUGAUUUGACUAGUGAAGGUAAAUAGAAUAAUCCCUAUUAAGGUGUGUUAGGACUUACUAGUUUCCAAUAAAAGAAAAGGAAAAUUCAUAAAGCAGAGGUCUAAGCCUUAGAAAGACUGGAUAUCUACUUCAGCCCAGCUUAUGAUUAAUUUGCCGCCAAAGGUUAAGGGUUACCCAUGAUUAACAUCAAAUUAGUUCAGCCUAAAUUCCCACUCUCAAGAGAUAAAUCUAGGAAUGUGCUUGCUGGGAUUUGUUUGUCAAAUAAAAUUCCCACUCUGAAUAAAUCAAGGAAUAUGCUCAUUGGAGUUCCUUUAUCAUGAGUAUAAAAAUACUGUUGCAGUUGGAACAACUUUGAAGUAAAG
RNAcentral lists this unclassified non-coding RNA (638 nucleotides) under Hevea brasiliensis (rubber tree). The record is from RNAcentral. Lineage: Eukaryota; Viridiplantae; Streptophyta; Magnoliopsida; Malpighiales; Euphorbiaceae.